RNAcentral lists this ribosomal RNA (465 nucleotides) under uncultured bacterium. Its description in RNAcentral is "bacterial SSU rRNA". It matches the Rfam family "Bacterial small subunit ribosomal RNA", at positions 330 to 792 of the family's 1533-position model. The record is from RNAcentral.
UCCAGACUCCUACGGGAGGCAGCAGUGAGGAAUAUUGGUCAAUGGGCGCGAGCCUGAACCAGCCAAGUCGCGUGAGGGAAGACGGUCCUAUGGAUUGUAAACCUCUUUUGUCGGGGAGCAAAAGACGCCACGCGUGGCGUUCCGAGAGUACCCGAAGAAUAAGCAUCGGCUAACUCCGUGCCAGCAGCCGCGGUAAUACGGAGGAUGCGAGCGUUAUCCGGAUUUAUUGGGUUUAAAGGGUGCGUAGGUGGUUAAUUAAGUCAGCGGUGAAAGUUUGUGGCUCAACCAUAAAAUUGCCGUUGAAACUGGUUGACUUGAGUAUAUUUGAGGUAGGCGGAAUGCGUGGUGUAGCGGUGAAAUGCAUAGAUAUCACGCAGAACUCCGAUUGCGAAGGCAGCAUACCGGCGCCCAACUGACGUUGAAGCACGAAAGCGUGGGUAUCGAACAGGAUUAGAUACCCCUGUA